AGUUUAUCAAACUGAUGCACAUACAGUUGUCAGCACGGGGUCUGGCACGAGGUCAAGUGCUCAGGAGUGGGUGGUAGCAAAUCGAUGGAUAUGAAGAUACAUAGAUGAGGGAUUGAGUCUGAGUAGGAGUCUUUUUUGGGGCUGGUGUGGUAAGAGUGAUACCCCCUCACUGCUGCCAUCUGGCCCUUGUGAUAGAAUGCACGCUGUACUAGCAUCUCCUGGGAGCUGAGGCAGACCCUGUCAGUUGUAUUUGAUGCCUUCAUCACGGGGCAGGGGAAGAAAGACUGGUCCCUCUUCCGGAUGUUCUCCCGAACCCUCACGGAGCCCUGCCCCCUGGCCUCAGAGAGCCGAGUCUAUGUGGAUAUCACCAACUACAACCAGGACAACGAGACAUUAGAGGUGCACCCAUCCCCGACCACUACAUAUCAGGACGUCAUCCUAGGCACUCGGAAGACCUAUGCCAUCUAUGACUUGCUUGACAGCGCCAUGAUCAACAACUCUCGAAACCUCAACAUCCAGCUCAAGUGGAAGAGACCC
Molecule: small RNA, 537 nt
Filed under: Pongo abelii (Sumatran orangutan)
Lineage: Eukaryota; Metazoa; Chordata; Mammalia; Primates; Hominidae
Description: retained intron
Source: RNAcentral